AUAGUUUCCUCUAUUGCUGUGAUUCUCUCUCUCUCUCUCUCUCUCUCUCUCUCUCUUCCUCCCGUCCUGCCUAUCGAAGAGCUCAAAUCCAAAGUCCGAGCAAAGCAAAUUCGCUCAGCACGAAUGGAUCCGAGGAUGAACACGCACGAAGUUUUCAAGAGGCGAGCCCAUCACCUACAGUCGUAGUAGUAGUCAUCGUAAUCGACGGUGGUGGAGUUUUCAUGUUAUUGUGCAUUAUCAGAACUAGCAUAGGUGGUCAUAUUCAUAUUUGCUAGUUUAGUGAGGGAAACUGAAACCUUUUUUUUCCUCUGAAGUAAGAAAGUUACUUGCCCUGUUUUGCAUGAAGCAUGAUGAGAAUGAAUAUGGAGAGGGAACAAACUACAAGUUGAGGAGCCUUGUUAGUCCUCAUGGCCUCAAUAUUGCAAAAACUAUUGCUGAAGAAAGCCAUAUAUAUACUAGUACCUGCUGAAACUGAAACCUUAUCACAUCAAGAUCCUUAGCUCUUUAUGUAGUAAAUGUUUAUUUCAAUAAUAUGUAUGAUGUAUGAUUGGUACUUAUGAGUUAUAUAUUUAAGUUUGUGCAGUAGCAAGCAUGUUUUUGUACCACUUGAUCUCUAAUAUUAUUCAAUAUUUGCAGUUUGAUACUGCCUUCAUUGCCUUGGAUAUGAAAGAACCUAAACUGUGGGAAGGCAACUUUAGGGAGACGAGAUGGUGUUGUUCAAUUUCUGCGUAGACAGAGCAAUGUUUUGAAGACCGUAUUGAUCAAUCUUUGCUCAGACUACUUUAAAUCAUUUGGAGAUGGUCAUGAGAAUAUGAGACCGUAUUGACAUUGUCUUAGUGAUAUGAUCUACUGAGCUUUUCUUAUUGAUGCUUCACUGGUAUUGUUUCAGCUGUUCCAUUCGAAGGCCAUAUAUUGAUCAUCUUACGAUUGGCUACUA
Long non-coding RNA from Rosa rugosa (rugosa rose), 937 nucleotides. RefSeq lists it as uncharacterized. The transcript has 2 exons. The record is from RefSeq and is a predicted model, not a curated record. Lineage: Eukaryota; Viridiplantae; Streptophyta; Magnoliopsida; Rosales; Rosaceae.